Molecule: long non-coding RNA, 210 nt
Organism: Perognathus longimembris pacificus (Pacific pocket mouse)
Lineage: Eukaryota; Metazoa; Chordata; Mammalia; Rodentia; Heteromyidae
Exons: 3
Source: RefSeq, a predicted model, not a curated record
ACAAAAGACAUUUAGACCACAGUGAAGUGCUACUUCACACUCACUAGGAUACCUAAAAUUCUUAAAAGAGGGACAAUAAUUUAAGUAUUGGUAAGGUUGUGAAGAAAUUAGAAUCAUUCCACUGUGCUAGUGAGAAUGCAAAGUGGAGUACUCCUUAAAAAACAAGUAGUAGGGGCUGGGGAUAUAGCCUAGUGGCAAGAGUGCCUGCCU